GUCUACAUCCAUACCACCCUGGACACACCCGAUCUUGCCUGAUCUUGUAAGGUAAGCAGGUUUGGGCCUGGUUAGUUCCUGGGUGGGAGAAAACA
RNAcentral lists this ribosomal RNA (95 nucleotides) under Castor canadensis (American beaver). Lineage: Eukaryota; Metazoa; Chordata; Mammalia; Rodentia; Castoridae. The record is from RNAcentral.